This 443-nucleotide ribosomal RNA is filed under the name uncultured bacterium. RNAcentral's name for it is "bacterial SSU rRNA". It matches the Rfam family "Bacterial small subunit ribosomal RNA", at positions 30 to 477 of the family's 1533-position model. The record is from RNAcentral.
AUUGAACGCUGGCGGCAUGCCUUACACAUGCAAGUCGAACGGCAGCACGGGAGCAAUCCUGGUGGCGAGUGGCGAACGGGUGAGUAAUAUAUCGGAACGUGCCCGAGAGUGGGGAUAACGAGGCGAAAGCUUUGCUAAUACCGCAUACGAUCUCAGGAUGAAAGCAGGGGACCGCAAGACCUCGCGCGAUUGGAGCGGCCGAUAUCAGAUUAGGUAGUUGGUGAGGUAAAGGCUCACCAAGCCGACGAUCUGUAGCUGGUCUGAGAGGACGACCAGCCACACUGGGACUGAGACACGGCCCAGACUCCUACGGGAGGCAGCAGUGGGGAAUUUUGGACAAUGGGCGCAAGCCUGAUCCAGCAAUGCCGCGUGCAGGAUGAAGGCCUGGUUGUAACUAGCUUUUGUACGGUACGAAACGGUGAGCUCUAAUACAGUUGCUAAUG